This 164-nucleotide ribosomal RNA is filed under the name Acer campestre (hedge maple). RNAcentral describes it as "5.8S ribosomal RNA". It matches the Rfam family "5.8S ribosomal RNA". From Rfam's summary of the family: 5.8S ribosomal RNA (5.8S rRNA) is a component of the large subunit of the eukaryotic ribosome. The record is from RNAcentral. Lineage: Eukaryota; Viridiplantae; Streptophyta; Magnoliopsida; Sapindales; Sapindaceae.
AAAACGACUCUCGGCAACUGAUAUCUCGGCUCUCGCAUCGAUGAAGAACGUAGCGAAAUGCGAUACUUGGUGUGAAUUGCAGAAUCCCGUGAACCAUCGAGUCUUUGAACGCAAGUUGCGCCCCAAGCCGUUAGGCCGAGGGCACGCCUGCCUGGGUGUCACGC